RNAcentral lists this ribosomal RNA (1547 nucleotides) under Pyropia suborbiculata. RNAcentral describes it as "SSU rRNA". It matches the Rfam family "Eukaryotic small subunit ribosomal RNA", at positions 48 to 1092 of the family's 1831-position model. Lineage: Eukaryota; Rhodophyta; Bangiophyceae; Bangiales; Bangiaceae. The record is from RNAcentral.
GCCAUGCAUGUCUAAGUAUAAACUACUUUAUACUCGUGAAACUGCGAAUGGCUCAUUAAAACAGUUAUAGUUUAUUUGGGAACUUUACUACUUGGAUAACCGUAGUAAUUCUAGAGCUAAUACAUGCCUCAACGCCCGACUUUUGAAGGGUGGUAUUUAUUGGAUAAAAAACCAUCGUGUUCCUUCGGGAACGCUUUGAGAUGAUUCACAAUAACUUGUCGGAUCGCAAGGCCUUGUGCCGGCGACUGCCCAUUCAAAUUUCUGCCCUAUCAACUUUCGAUGGUAGAGUAUUGGUCUACCAUGGUGUCGACGGGUGACGGGGAAUUAGGGUUCGAUUCCGGAGAGGGAGCCUGAGAAACGGCUACCACAUCCAAGGAAGGCAGCAGGCGCGCAAAUUACCCAAUCCCGACUCGGGGAGGUAGUGACAAGAAAUAACAAUAGGGGGCCCUUUGGGCCUUCUAAUUGGAAUGAGAACAAUUUAAAUCCCUUAUCGAGGAUCCAUUGGAGGGCAAGUCUGGUGAACGCACACACAUACACAAAGCCCGCCUGAAAAAAAAACGGCGCCAGAUGUCUUCUCCCCUGGCUGGACUAGGAACAGAACGGGACGGGGAGGGGGCAAAAGGUGGGAAACCGUCUGUCUCUUUUCGUGAAGAGACGAGAGCCCCCACCAUACACUUUGAAAUUGUCGGGGAGUGCCUGUUAGGCCUUUUGACUACCGCGGUCCGCCGAGAGGUGAGGGCGAGCAAUCGCCCAGGACGCAGCAGUGCAUGUAACGGUGCAUGGAAGGUAAAAACGUCAAAGGAUAGGGUUGAUCCGCAGGGAAGCGCGAGUGCAGUGUUUUUGUAUUGACACUGCAAAGGCGAACCUUCAGAGACUCUAAUAAAGUGGGCGCAAGCUUAAGGGAGAGUCCAAUCCACUGGGAAACCAGGUCCACAGGAGUAAUGGGGUCGAUGGCUCGCCCCAGAGGACUGUGGAAGGCACCACCCUCCAGGUGAUGUCGGGUUAUGCAUGGCCAGCAGCCGCGGUAAUUCCAGCUCCAAUAGCGUAUAUUAAAGUUGUUGCAGUUAAAACGCUCGUAGUCGAACCUCGGGGCGCGCCCACGGGCCGGGCUUCUGCCUUGUUGCCAGUGGGGGUUUGUCCCCUUUUGUCGGAACGUGGUGUGUUCGGGGCUUCACUGUCUCAGCACGCAAAGCUGCGGGCCGACCGUUUACUGUGAAGAAAGUAAGGUGUUCAAAGCAGGCCAUUGCCUUGAAUAUGUGAGCAUGGAAUAAUAGAAUAGGACUUGGGCUCUAUUUUGUUGGUUUCCAGUGACCAAGUAAUGAUUAAUAGGGAUGGUUGGGGGCAUUCGUAUUUCAUUGUCAGAGGUGAAAUUCUUGGAUUGAUGGAAGACGCACUACUGCGAAAGCAUCUGCCAUGGAUGUUUUCAUUGAUCAAGAACGAAAGUUAGGGGAUCGAAGACGAUCAGAUACCGUCGUAGUCUUAACCAUAAACGAUGCCGACUGGGGAUUGGCGGGGGCAAUAUUUUAUGACUUCGUCAGCACCCUGAG